UUCAGGAGGGCGUUGUCACAGAGUCUGGGGUGCGCUGUGUUGUUCAUUGUAAAAACCCUUUGGAGCAUCUGGGAAUGUGCUGCCCCACAUGUCCAGGCUGUGUGUUUGAGGGUGUGCAGUAUCAGGAAGGGGAGGAAUUUCAGCCGGAAGGAAGCAAAUGUACCAAGUGUUCCUGCACUGGAGGCAGGACACAAUGUGUGAGAGAAGUCUGUCCCAUUCUCUCCUGUCCCCAGCACCUUAGUCACAUACCCCCAGGACAGUGCUGCCCCAAAUGUUUGGGUCAGAGGAAAGUGUUUGACCUCCCUUUUGGGAGCUGCCUCUUUCGAAGUGAUGUUUAUGACAAUGGAUCCUCAUUUCUGUACGAUAACUGCACAGCUUGCACCUGCAGGGACUCUACUGUGGUUUGCAAGAGGAAGUGCUCCCACCCUGGUGGCUGUGACCAAGGCCAGGAGGGCUGUUGUGAAGAGUGCC
This 471-nucleotide long non-coding RNA is filed under the name Pan troglodytes (chimpanzee). RNAcentral's name for it is "long non-coding RNA NONPTRT015546". The record is from RNAcentral. Lineage: Eukaryota; Metazoa; Chordata; Mammalia; Primates; Hominidae.